RNAcentral lists this unclassified non-coding RNA (650 nucleotides) under Hevea brasiliensis (rubber tree). The record is from RNAcentral. Lineage: Eukaryota; Viridiplantae; Streptophyta; Magnoliopsida; Malpighiales; Euphorbiaceae.
GAGCCAAACUUAAGCUCGACUCGUUUGCUAAGCUCGAGCUCAGGUCAUUUUAAUUAUAAACAAGCUUAAUUUAAUAUAUACAUAUAUACACACUAAAAAAGUAAACUUAAAUAAAAUUUUAAUUCAAUUAAAGUCUUAGUAUGACUAAUUUUAAGCCACAUAAAGAAUCAAGGAGGGAUUCUCCUUUUAUAAAGAAGGCAACCCCUCCCACUUCAUAAAAACUUCAUAUGCGGGACAAGGGAGCCAUAUGUUAGGCCUUCAGCACCUAGAAUGGUUUUAUAUAAGCAUGUUAAAUUAUUAGCUGACAUGAUGUUGUGGUCUAAUGGUGGAAGCAUGUAAUGUGUUGCUUGCUUGGCUUGGGUUCGACUCCUAGCUCGGGAAACUUUGUUUUUACUUUGGAUUUUGCAUUUUCUUUUUCCUUUUAAUUUCUUUUUUUUUUUCUUCAUCUCUUUUGUUUUUUCAUUUAGUUUCUUUCCUUUUUAUGUUCUUUUAUUUUCUUUGCUUAGUACAUGUCCAAAAAUUAUUUACUUUAUUGAGGUUCUAUUUUUAACGUUCUUGAAAAAAUAUUUAAUUUAAAAAUUGAUUAUAUAAUAUAAAUAUAUUAAUUAUUUAAAAUACUUUUAAGGUUUUAUUAUUAUUAUUAUUAUUAU